Molecule: long non-coding RNA, 3716 nt
Filed under: Panax ginseng (ginseng)
Lineage: Eukaryota; Viridiplantae; Streptophyta; Magnoliopsida; Apiales; Araliaceae
Description: long non-coding RNA (PGIN_LNC002365)
Rfam family: MIR6135 microRNA precursor family (bases 2985-3106)
Source: RNAcentral
GGGUGAGCUUAAGAUAUAUUCCCUCUAUAUAUAUAUAUAUAUAUAUAUAGUUGUUAGAAGGCUGGAGUAGCCACAAUUGACUUAGCGCAGUUGUCAUGGCAUAGUUAAUUGGUGGACGGUAUCAAACACGAACACACAUGAGACGAUUAAUCAAGAGAAACACAAAAUCAUGCGCACGACCAUCAGAAAUCUUAUCAACGACACAGGAACUGGAACUCGUUUGUUACCAUUAGGCGAUGGCCACAAGGCCCACAUUAAACAGCAGGUGAUGCUAGGUUUUACAUUCAACAAAGCUAUCUUAAUUGCCUUCCUACUCCUCACUUUGCUACCUAGAACUUAGAAGGCUGUUUUUUUUAUAUUUUUAAAAUAGCCCAAAAACGAAUAGCUUCAUUAUAGUAUUAAAAUCGAGGUAAAUAUAUUUUUGUCAAUUAUACUCGACCUCAGUUUAUAAAUAUAUAAUUGAACUGAUUUUUUUUUUCAUUCAACUCAUUGUAUUAUAUUUUUUUAACAAAACAUUACAAAAUCCUUUCAAAUCAUUUGACUUUUAACGACAAAAAAAAAGUUAAUUUUAUUGAACUAACAAGUGGGUUUCCAAGAUUCGUUCAUAAGGCUGUCAUGGUGGAAUUACAAUUAUUAGGUGUGUGAGUGUGGUGUGGGUGAAAAUUAGCAAAAAAAAAAUCUCUCUAAUUUUUUUCAUUUUUUUUUUUUACAUGAGACUGAGAUGUAGAUGGAAUUGUGAAUCGAAAAAGUUGUGGCAUAUUGUAGAUUUGGGUUUCUGGGUUUAGAUUCGCUUUGAUUUGUCGCCGGUUAAUUCAAUCUUUGGGGUUGCGUUUGAGCUUUAGUGAAAUUAUUUAACUUGUUUUCAACAGUUUUUUGGGUUUAUUUGUUAGAAGUUUCUACAUGAUUUUUUGGUGUUAUAUAUCUAUAAAAAUAUUUUUCAAUUUCCUUAUUUAUUUUUUCUAGCUUCCCUUUGUUGACGAGAAAAACUCGCCGGAGCCUGGCAUAGGAUAAUGAAUUGAGAAUAUUCUGCAUAGAAUUCUUUUGAUUUCUUUAAAGAGUAAACAAGGGGAGAGAAAGUUUUGGGAGAGAGAAUUUGUAUAAAAAUUAGGUGUAGAAGUCAAUAAAUAGAAUUCGUGUAAACAAUUUCCCUCUUCUCCGUCUUUUCUCUCCAAUUUUCUCUCUACGUAGCAACAAAAAAAUCCCGUUAAAUUCUCUCGCCCAUCAUUUCCUCUCUCAAUCUUUGUUUUUUCCUCUGUUACGUAGGCUUCCUCUAUUUUCAGGGGUAGGAGAGGGAAAGCAGUAAAACCUUUCUCUCUCUACCUUAUUGAAACCAUGAUUCAAUUCAAUCAAACCUAGAAUGCUUCAUUGAUUGCACAACACCGGUGAUUCCAUCCCGGAAAGUCGGGUUGUUGAUGAAGGAUUAUGAAGAUCGAAAAGGUUUUGAUUAGCGAAUUUAUCACUUGAAAAAAAUAAAGGAGGAAGAUGAAUAUGAAGAAGCAUGCUUUGAUUUGAUUUGGACUUAUUUUUGAUUUUGUUUAUUUUUUGUUUUGUUUUUGAUUUUAUGUUUAGUUAUUAAUUAAUUUGUUGUGUUUUUUAAUUAUUGAAUAUUCACCUAAGCAUAUGAUGUGAGGAAAAAGUUCAAAAAUGUCUUUAACGUUUAACCCGAUAUCCUACUUUCAUCCUUAACUAUUUUUUUUUCUCUAAAAGUACUCUUAAUGUUACAAAUUUAGGAUCAACUGUGCCCCUGCCGUUAACGGACAUGUCACCUAGACUAACGUGGUUGACGUGACUAGACAAAUUUUAGUGACAAGGCAUGAAGAUUGAUUUUUAACUCCUAAUUAAAACAAAUUAAACCACUUAAUUUCAAACUCAUCCGAUCAUCAUUUAGUGUCUGCCAUUUUUUCUCUCUAAACCUAUUCUCUGUAAAUUCGGAUGAAGCUGCUUAGAUCCAGGAUGAACAACCUCCAUGUUUCCAUUAUUACACGAUACAAGAUCAUAUAUUGUAACCCAUUUUCGUCAACAUCACAAUAAUUUGCACUGUAGCCAAAAAAAGUAAAGUUGAAUACUAUUUUUUAACACACAUUAACGACAUCAAAAGAUGCAGCUCAAGCCCAACCAAACUCUUGGCCUAGUUUAUUUUCAAGUUUGAGUGUUUGGGCUUCCAAAUAUUUGGGCCUCGAGCAUGGGCCUACCCUAACAAUAUCCAUACUAAUUAAAUUAAGACUUUACUUUUAAUAGUUAUAAUCCAUAUCAGAACCUGUUUAUUUUUAAACAUGUUGGCAUGAUUUUAAAUUUUGAAUUAUACUGAUAAGUUGGAGCUGGGAAAGUGAAACAAUAAAAUCAGAUAAGCAAAAUUCACUCAAUUUAAGGUUAUAUAUAUAUAUAUAUAUAGCAAAAGGCAAACUUUUUAUUAGACCUGAAAAAACUACUAAGGUGCUGUUUGUUUAUAUCUGAUUGUCUCUUAAUGAACUGUCUCUUAUUCGCUAAGAGGCAUGAUGCUGUUUGUUUUGUUUUUUGUUACCUCUGAAUGCCUCUUAAUCGGUAAGACAGAAAAUGAAAUCUUAAUAAUUAAGAGGUACCUCUUAAUGAUUUUUUUUUGCUAAUUUUUUUUUUAUAUAAAUAUAUUAAACAAUAUUAUGCACUCAUUUUUAUUAAAUUGAAUAUUUAAAAUUAUUAAAUAAAAUUUUAUCCUUUAAAAUGGUAAAAUAGUGUCAUUAAGAGAUAAUUUAUUUUUUAGUUAUCAAACAAUUUUUUAGAUUCAGACCUCAUAACCAUUCAGAUGAUCUAAUUUAUUAAGACAUCAUAAUCAUUCAGAUCUUAAUUCUUAGAUUUAUCAAACACAGCCUAAUUCAAAAGACUUGGGCCUUUAAAUACAAAAAUUGUUGAAAAUAUAGAAAUGACAUAAUUGAGAGGAGCUCCGUACUUGAUAUGCAAAAUAAAAUUAAACCGGCAUAACUUGGCUGGUAUAUAUGAAAGUGGUUAGUAUGAAGUUUAUUUUGAGAUAAUUUGGUCAAUUGACCAAUAGAAUACUGACAUGCAUGUGAGAUUGUAUGUGUGUCAGUAUUCUAUUCGUCAAUUGACCAACUUACCAAAAUAAUAACUUCAUACUAACCAGAUCCGCUAUAUAUAUAUAUAUAUAUAUGAUUUGGAUGCUGCUCGAUCCAACCAAUCUUACACCUAAAGAUUACACAUUUAUAUGCAAUUAAUUAUAUAAUGUUGUAUAUUUCAAGCUGUAUGCAUUAUAUCAUGUCGCACUUUCAUAAGCUGUCCGUGACACAACUAACUGUAUCUUACUAAUUAGAUUCAAUAUUCAAUAUUUGUAAAUCAACUUUUCUUAAAGUCUAAUCUUUUGUUCUUCAUACUUCAGCUAAAAGGCACUUUUAACCUUUCUUUUUCUUUCUACAGGUUACAUGAAAAAACAACUUAAAUCAAACCCAACUAUUCCACAAACAAAAGGAAAGACCAUAUGAUUAUGAUAAAUAAAAUUAAGAACCGAGUAAGAAUUUUUUUUUUAUAUUAUUACCAUAUUCAAGUUAUACAAAUUAAUUGCAUAUAAACCUGAACAAGCUUAAAAUCCUUAGUAAUUUACUAGCAUGGAGUUACCCUUUCAGUUGCUCUCUCUCUCACUGAUCUCUCUCUCUCUCUCUCUCUCUCUCUCUCUCUCUAUAUAUAUAUAUAUAUAUAUAUAUAUAUAUAUAUAGACCACAAUGUUUUAC